RNAcentral lists this transfer RNA (73 nucleotides) under Cotesia glomerata. Its description in RNAcentral is "tRNA-Thr". Lineage: Eukaryota; Metazoa; Arthropoda; Insecta; Hymenoptera; Braconidae. The record is from RNAcentral.
GACCGGGUAGCUCAAAUGGUAGAGUUGCCGACAUGUCCUCGAGAGGUUCUGGGUUCGAAUCCCAGUCCGAGCG